RNAcentral lists this ribosomal RNA (253 nucleotides) under uncultured bacterium. Its description in RNAcentral is "partial 16S ribosomal RNA". It matches the Rfam family "Bacterial small subunit ribosomal RNA", at positions 524 to 776 of the family's 1533-position model. The record is from RNAcentral.
UACGGAGGGUGCUAGCGUUGUUCGGAAUUACUGGGCGUAAAGCGUGCGCAGGCGGUUGUGCAAGACGGAUGUGAAAUCCCCGGGCUCAACCUGGGAAUUGCAUUUGUGACUGCACGGCUAGAGUGUGUCAGAGGGGGGUAGAAUUCCACGUGUAGCAGUGAAAUGCGUAGAGAUGUGGAGGAAUACCGAUGGCGAAGGCAGCCCCCUGGGAUAACACUGACGCUCAUGCACGAAAGCGUGGGGAGCAAACAGG